AGGAUAAUAGUUAAAUAUAACAUUUGGUUUGCAUUCAAAAAGUAUUGAUUAUUCAAUUUAUCUU
This 64-nucleotide transfer RNA is filed under the name Symploce tubercularis. RNAcentral describes it as "tRNA-Ala". It matches the Rfam family "tRNA". From Rfam's summary of the family: Transfer RNA (tRNA) molecules are approximately 80 nucleotides in length. Their secondary structure includes four short double-helical elements and three loops (D, anti-codon, and T loops). Lineage: Eukaryota; Metazoa; Arthropoda; Insecta; Blattodea; Blattellidae. The record is from RNAcentral.